AGGAAGUAUAUACGUAAUAUAUAUAUAUAUAUAUAUUGUAAUAUCCCGCAACUAGGAGACGCGGGUAAAUCAAGAUUUCAGCCCGUUGGUUGCCAACCGGCGGACUGCACACAGCACACCCACAAGUUGUUCAUGCCUUACGCGUGAGGUGGCUGCUUCCUACUCCGCUUGGGGGUUGGUCAACAGAUGGUGCUGCUAGCUUGCCAAGCAGCUGGCAAGAUCGCCUCUUCCCCUCUCCAACUGGGCACUUCUUCUCUGCAACUAAUGGCUUGUAUCACGCAGGGAGGAGAUUGAAUGGGAGUUUACGUUAAAGCUCCCCAUUCUGUUUCCUGUUCAUCAUUAUGCCUGAAAGAGAGAGAAGUAUAAGAGAGAUGCAGAUAGAGUUGUUGAGUGUAGAGAGAGAGACAGAAGGAAAAUAAAGAAACUGAAGAGAGAGAGAGAGAGAGAGAGAGAGAGAGAGAGAGAGGAACGCAAAACAGAGAACUGUGCGCGGUGUGCUCUACCGGGAGAAAAUCUGGCCCUCUUCGCAUGUGUAAUGGAGUUCUGGACUUUUGGAGCUUCGUCCUCCCUUCCUCUUCCUGUUCAGGGUCUCCUUUAGCCAUUUUAGGCUGCUCAGAAUGCGCAGCAAGCUUCACAAUGCAACUUUCCCUCUGCUGCUGUCAGUCGAGCGCCUACUGCAGGUGGGCGCUAUUCUUCUGCUCUUUCUGCUUUCCUUCUAUUAUUUUCUUGGAAUUAGAGAGUCCUUAGACACUCGCUUAUGUGUUAGGAUCAUUUCCCAUCAAUCUCCUGCAGCGGAUUCUUCCAAAAACACUGCAGAAGUCUCGGCCGACUCACCCAGCUCCGCAGCCACUACCAUGGCGUGUUGCAGAAAUGUUCUUGACAAUUGAGGGUGAUCCACUCGUGCGUUUAGUCCCAAAUUCGAUCCCAAGUGAGGUAAGAAUUGUAAUACACUCUUGAACACAUUUAAUGGAUCUUUUAUCCACUCGUGUGUGUGUUCAUGAAUUUUUGGUGUAGUAAUCUUAUGUUUUCUGUUUGUUUAUGGUGUUUUUUUAUGUUAUGUUUGCUAACAUGUAAGGAUGUUUUAGGAGUAUGAAUUAAUCAUCACAGGAGAGAAAACAAGCAAGAAAAUGGAGAGAAGACGGAAGGAGGCACACUGCCUUUGUCUGCGUCAUGUCAUGGCACCAAAGCAUCGGGAUAGCAUGUAGACACGGUCUGCCGUGCGGGCGAGCAUGCACGGGCUGCGCGCACACAAGCACCAGGACAGAUUCCCGGGCACAUUGCGUACGUGCAGCAUGCUGCGCGUGAGCAGAAGACUAUGACAGGCGCCCUGUGCGCCGAGCGAGUUUGUGAGUGACGUGCUGGUGCCUCGCGGACGUGAGGUGGGCAUGCAAUGGCGUGUGAGACACCCGUCUAGGUGCCCGAAUGCGCCAAGGCGGAUGUCCUUGGCACGCUGCAACGUGCAGUGCACAUUGUGAGGCACGCGCAGCUCUGGCAGGCGCCUGGGAUUUUAGGAGAAGAAAAAUGGGAAAUUAAUAGGAAAACAUAAAUUUCUACUAGUUUAGAAGUAAGACCGGCUAAAUAGAGAAAUUAGAAAAAUAGGAAUUCGGGCAGUUAAAUGGGAAAAUUAUAAAUAAUAAAUUAGUCCUAAUCUAUUAUUUAUAAAUAAUUAAUUUAAAUAAUUAAUUAAAUAGGGAAGUUAGUAAAUUAGUCUAAAAUGGAAAUUAAGUGGAAAUUAAAUAACAAGAAUCAAAUUUGGUAAAUCAAAUAUUAAUGCAUUUAAAUAAGAAAAUUAGAAAUGGGAUAAAUAAAUAAAUAAAAUUAGAAAACUAAAUUUGAAAAUUGGAACAGAAAAUAAAUAAGUUAGAAAACUAUAAUAAUAUGAAAAUAAAAUUCAUAGGAUAAAAUCACCUAGACUAAUUUAGGUUAAUUAAAAAAGGUCUAUUUGUUAUUUAUGUUUAUCUUAUGUAUGUUAUAUGUAUAUUGUUUCGUUAUUUAUUGUAGAGGAUUAUGUUGCCAAAUGGUAAAAUGAAAUGAAUUGAAUGCAUGAAAUGGAAAAUAGUAAAAGGAUAGGUUGUGAGCUAGUAAGGGACGUGUAAGUUAUGCAAAGAACAUUAGAAGAAAAAUGGGGAAAAAAUAAUGUUAGAGUCAUGUUGGCCAAGUUUAGGGUAGCUAGGCGUUGUGUCUAAAAAGACAACCAAGUUAGGAGUCUAAUAGAAGUUACUUAACCAAAUAGUCAGGUUGAAUCUGGUUCGUCUGAAUUCUAAGAGGGACCUCGAUUGAUUGUUUGAUACUGAUUGGCUUCAAGGAGCCACUAUGCUAUGGGUGCAGCUAGUUAUUGGUUCCACUAUAUGGGACAAUUUAGUGUUUCUGGGAGGAAAAGUUAGUCUUGAUUGGUAUUCAUGCUCUAGGACUCAAGGGUGUUGAUCAUGGCAACCGGGGUGACUAUGGGAUGGUGCCCGAAAAAAAAAGAGUGAUUGUAUCUUUUAUAGAUUAUAUAUGUAAAUUAUUAUUAAUUAUUAUUAGCACACCCAUCCAUAGAUAAUGGUGUCUGUAUUGCCCUUCCUGAAAAUAGAUGUUAAGUGGUUGCACACGCAGAAUUGGCAAUGUCAACUUAAUUAAAGAUAUAAAUGAAAUAAAAGACUUAAUAAAGAAGAAGAAUUAGUGAGUCAGAGUCAAUCAUCAGAGUUAGUCUGAGUGCACGUGUAGAGCUUACAUGUGAUUGAUUGUGUGGGUAAUUGCAUGGGGUUUUGGGGAUUGGAAGUCGAGAACAUGUAUAAUAUCAGGGAUUGCAUGUUAUCGAUUCUAGAGUAGUGAUGGUAGAAUAGGGAUUGAUUGAUAGAUUGAUGGAUUGAUUGAUUGAUUGUUAUUACUUUCAUUGAUAGAUUAAUUGUAAUUUAUGUGGGUCAAUUGUCUCAUUUAAUGGAUUUAUAUUUGGAAUUUGAAUUUAAGGUAUGUGUUAUUUUUAUGUAAUUCCGCAGCAUUUGAAUAAAUUUUCUAGUUUUAAGUUAUGGUACAAAUGAUUGAGGAUUGUUGUGAAGAAUUUGGGAACAAGACAUUAUAUAUAUAGUUUAAGUGCUCGAUAAUGAUUUCACAUUGGAUAUAUAUCAAAGGAGU
RNAcentral lists this long non-coding RNA (3114 nucleotides) under Carica papaya (papaya). Its description in RNAcentral is "long non-coding RNA (CPAP_LNC005268)". Lineage: Eukaryota; Viridiplantae; Streptophyta; Magnoliopsida; Brassicales; Caricaceae. The record is from RNAcentral.